CCUCUCACCCCCUGCAAGAUCCCAGUGCGUAUCUCCGGCCCCUUGGUGUCCAGACCUAUGGCCACGGGUCGGUUGCUGAGCGGAGAAGUUGCAAAGCUCUUCACCGCCUCCCGGAUGUUGGCGAUGGACUUAGCGUGGUACUGGGACGGGAACCGAGUGGGGAUUUCAGAGCCUUGAUCAUCUCCUUGAGGCGCUCCACGGAGCGAGAUGCCGGCCCUGGAACCAGAGAUCCUGUUCGGACAACUUUCUACCCAAACCUGAGAGACAAUCAAACCCAUCACAGAGACGCCCUGUGCUGCAAAAGUCUUGUUACCUGACCUUUAUUUCCUGACAAAACCCCUGCUCACAGGUCAGAAGCGCCCUUCCCCUCUCCAGCCAACACCUGCCUCCUUGGGGAGGCAGUACUGCGGGUCUUGGAGAGGAGGGUCCUCAGCCAGGCCAGAGGUAAAUGUGUAAUGUAAAGUGGCAGUAGCUGUGGCAGUGAUGAAAGUGCUGCAGUGGUGGUGAGGAUGGGGGUACGGACCCCCACGUCGGAAAGGGGAUGGGUGCCAGCUCAGAGAAUUUGGGGUUCAGGGCUUUAGAGCUGAGAGGAUUCAUAUUGAGGACAGUUGAGUUCUGUCCCAACCAGAUAAAGCAGCUGUGUGACAGAGAGUCAGCCGGCCAGCCUCUCCAGGCACUACCUAAAGCCCGUUCUUCCUGUGGGGGAAGAAUGCCCCACUCUCUUCUCUGUCAUUUCCCCUUCACUCCCCUGUGAAUUAGCCUCAUGGCUUUAAAUGCCAUCUAUAAACUGACCACUACCAAAUUUAAAUCUGCAGUUCAAACCUCUCUCCCAAAUCCACAGUUGUGUGUCUGAUUGCCUACUUUGCAUCACACUUGGAUGUCUGAUGCGCAUCUCAAUCUCAACAUGCCCCAAACUGAAAUCUUGAUCUCCUUCCCACUGCCCCCAGCCCUUUCCACCACAAUCUUUCCUGCUCAGUUGGUAAUGCAUCCUUCUAGAUGGUCGUGCCAGAAACCUUGGAGGAAAUCCUGUGAGCUCUACCUUCAAAACACGUUCAGAAUCUGAUCACUUCUUACCACCUCUACUGUCACCAUGUGGUCUAAGCCAGAAAUACUGCAGGAGCAGCUUCUGCCCUUGCCUGCACCCAAAACCCCAAUCAAUUUUCAAUACAGCAGCCUGAGUUAUUCUGUUAAAACAUAAGGAGGAGCGUUGGUACUCUCUUCUCAAAACUCUACAGUAGUUUCCCAUUUCACUUGGAAGAAAACUCAACUCAAAUUCUGAAAAAGGCCUAUGAAAGCACUCUGUGGCUUACCCCUCCCCUUCAAUCUCCAGUUCUGCUACUCUUCCCCUUUGAUGGUUUCUAGCCAUUCCAGCCUCCUUGACUUAGGGCCUUUUCACUGACUGUUCCCUCUGUCUGGAACUUUCUUCCCCCAACCCAUCUGCAUGGCUCAUUCUGUCAUCUCCUUCGUAUCUUUGCUCAGGUCUUAAUUUUCUGAACAAGGCUACCUUGACUCUAUGUAGGACUGUAAUCUGUCUCCCUCCCUCACAUCCCUAAUGCUCCUUACCAGGCUCUGUUUUUUGUUUUACCAUAUUCUUAACACUUUCUCACAUACCUAAAAAGUUAUUUAAAAAUAUGUAUUAUCUCUAUUAUUUAUUGCCUAGAUUGUCAGCUCCCCAAAGGUAGGAAUCUUCAUUUCAUUGGUCUCUUCCCAGGGCCCAAAACCUUGCUUACCAAGUGCUCAACAAAUAUUUUUUGAAUGACUGACUCCAUCAAACGUGGAGAAGUCUUGAAAUAGACAAAAGAUGGGGAAGCACCUUGAGGAGCACCCAGGAGGCCCUGUGCUGCUGCGGGGGAGGGGACUGCUUACCGAUGGUGGCAAUGAUGCUGGUGCUGCGAGCGGCCACGGGCUCGGAGUCAAUGUCCAACAGGCAGAGGUGUUCCAGGAAGGUGUCUGCCAUAGCGGCUGACAGCUGCUGCCGCUGGAAGAAGGUGACUGGCUUCCCGGCCCUCUCCUCUGAGUUUCCUUGGCUCCUUCAAUGCUACUUGAUCCAGUGCAGCCCAGCCCAGAUGAGCUCCCCUUCGAGCCACACCCUCCAUGCCGCUGAACGUCUGCCAGUCUCUGGGGGUCUGCACCACAGUAUCAGGCUAUUGAAGCCCCAGGGCUCAGCUGGGCUGGGGAUCAGUCCUGCAUACUGGUUAAAGUGUUACCAGUGUCUCCUGUGUCACUGGAAGCCUUGUGCACUAGGGGCCAGAGUCCAGGAGCCACAGGACAACCCCUCUGCCUAGCCUAUAGCGCUGGUAGAAGAAGCCCAGACCAGGGUUCAUAACUUAACCCAGGGGAGACUCCCAUGAACACUGAAUCUCCCCAAGUCCCCCCUGGCCAGCAGCAGAUAUUGGUCAUUUGGACCAUCUACCCCCAUUUCUGACCUCCAUCCUCAUUUUCCCUCUCUGUUCAAUAGCUUCUGUUGCCCUUUCUUACCUCCUGGAGCCCCAAUCAGGAUGGACUUUGCUAAGUCUCUUUGAGACUUAUGGAUCCUUGACCAGAGCUUCUGGGAUUGCAUGUCCUCUUGCAUGGAC
Manis javanica (Malayan pangolin) is the source of this 2576-nucleotide non-coding RNA. NCBI's taxonomy places the organism in Eukaryota, Metazoa, Chordata, Mammalia, Pholidota, Manidae. The record is from RefSeq and is a predicted model, not a curated record.